Long non-coding RNA from Populus nigra (black poplar), 738 nucleotides. RefSeq lists it as uncharacterized. The transcript has 2 exons. Lineage: Eukaryota; Viridiplantae; Streptophyta; Magnoliopsida; Malpighiales; Salicaceae. The record is from RefSeq and is a predicted model, not a curated record.
AGAUGCAAAAUGGGAUGAGGGGCGUACCUGCUUCUGGAAACGACGAAGAUGGAUGCAGUGUGAUAGUGCCUGUUGUCUGCUUAACACCUUUCCUCCUACUUUCUUUUGUUUUCUCUCCUGGUUCUGGAAACGCCGAAGGCAAUAGCAACGGGACGAAGACAAUGGCAGAGCUGAUCUGUGACUCUCCUCUGCUUUUCCUUUUUUUUUUCUGAGUCUCUUCUCUCUGUUCCCGCGGUUCUGCCCUUUUCUCCCCCAGUUUUUCCUCCUGUAGUCCUCUGUUUUUUUCCUUUAGUUUCCUUCUUUCCCCCCAUGUUUGUUCGUCUCCUCUGUUUUGUUUGAGAAGAAACCAGGGGAACUAAAGUCUACUCUUUCUUUUUUUAGUCCUCUUCCCUCACCUUGUGACCUUUCGUUCUCUGGCUUUUAUAGCCAGAGAACAAUCCGUUUCUUCCAACCAUUGAUUGCAGGUGUAAUGGUGGCGGUGGGCGUCCGUUGAAGAAGAUGAACAGCGCAUCCAAAGACGGCGCCGUUUUGAUGUUUAAUGGCCAUUUGCGUUUUGAUCCUUGACAUUUUGAAUUUUUGCAGUCCAGUUCUUGGGUAAAUUGUAAUUGAACCCCUGCAUCUCAGCGCCAUUUACACAUUGGUCCUUAGGUUUUAAUUUCUUGCAAAUUUGACCAGCAUCAUCCCUAUACCUUGAUAGUUUUUCAAUUAAGUCCCUGAAUAAAUUAAUUUCAAGCUCAA